UUUUUUUUUUUUGGCGAAGGAAUAGGAGCUUGGAUGAUUACAACAGGCAAAAUGCUAACCUUUGAGACAGGGACGUGAGGCAAAACACUGCAGCCAGUAUCUACAAACGCCUUUAAGAAGAUCUGAAAGUGAAGUGAAGCUUGGCCAUGUGAUAUUAUGCUGGGCCAUGCUAUAAUAUGCUGGGCCAUGCUAUAUGAAGCUAGGCCAUGUAAUAAUAUGCUGGGCCAUGGUAUAAUAUGCUGGGCCAUGCUAUAUGAAGCUAGGCCGUGUAAUAAUAUGCUGGGCCAUGCUAUAAUAUGCUGGGCCAUGCUAUAAUAUGCUGGGCCAUACUCUAUUAUGCUGGGCUGCAAACUGCUGUCUGGUCAGAUAAAUCUCUGUUCCCGCUCAACAGGUGCAGUAGGGAUAUGCAGGAGACAGUGAAGAGGCCUGUGGGGACACCAGCUCAAAUGAGUCAAAACAUCAUGGGACCUGAUCCUGCGGUUAAACUCCCUAAAUAAGUUUAUUUCAAAAGCUGAGAGACCUGAGAAAGUGAAAGUGACCAGCUGCAAACCAGGAAUCCGACUAAAAGGCUUUAGGGAGCCAGAACACCACCUUGAGGCACAGAUGCAAAAGUCAGUGUUUACUGUGUUAAGAACAGCA
This is a non-coding RNA of Taeniopygia guttata (zebra finch), 639 nucleotides long. Lineage: Eukaryota; Metazoa; Chordata; Aves; Passeriformes; Estrildidae. The record is from RefSeq and is a predicted model, not a curated record.